Molecule: ribosomal RNA, 426 nt
Filed under: uncultured prokaryote
Description: bacterial SSU rRNA
Rfam family: Bacterial small subunit ribosomal RNA
Source: RNAcentral
UGGGGAAUUUUCCGCAAUGGGCGAAAGCCUGACGGAGCAAUACCGCGUGCGGGAGGAAGGCCUUUGGGUCGUAAACCGCUUUUAACAGGGAAGAAGAUCUGACGGUACCUGUUGAAUAAGCCUCGGCUAACUCCGUGCCAGCAGCCGCGGUAAGACGGAGGAGGCAAGCGUUAUCCGGAAUUAUUGGGCGUAAAGCGUCCGCAGGUGGCCUAUCAAGUCUGUUGUUAAAGCCCAGGGCUCAACUCUGGAUCAGCAAUGGAAACUGAAAGGCUAGAGUACGGUAGGGGUAGAGGGAAUUCCCAGUGUAGCGGUGAAAUGCGUAGAUAUUGGGAAGAACACCAGUGGCGAAGGCGCUCUGCUGGGCCGUAACUGACACUCAUGGACGAAAGCUAGGGGAGCGAAAGGGAUUAGAUACCCCCGUAGUCC